GCUCUUGUGGCGGAAUCGGUAGACGCGAAGGACUUAAAAUCCUUUUCCAGCAAUGGAGUGCCGGUUCGAUUCCGGCCGGGAGCACCA
This 87-nucleotide transfer RNA is filed under the name Candidatus Peregrinibacteria bacterium. RNAcentral describes it as "tRNA-Leu". It matches the Rfam family "tRNA". From Rfam's summary of the family: Transfer RNA (tRNA) molecules are approximately 80 nucleotides in length. The record is from RNAcentral. Lineage: Bacteria; Candidatus Peregrinibacteriota.